UGCGUAGGCGGUCUUAUAAGUUAGAGGUGAAAGCUCGGGGCUCAACUCCGGAACUGCCUCUAAUACUGUAGGACUAGAGAGUAGAUGCGGUAGGCGGAAUGUAUGGUGUAGCGGUGAAAUGCGUAGAGAUCAUACAGAACACCGAUUGCGAAGGCAGCUUACCAAACUAUAUCUGACGUUGAGGCACGAAAGCGUGGGGAGCAAACAGGAUUAGAUACCCGCGUA
This 225-nucleotide ribosomal RNA is filed under the name uncultured Alistipes sp. Its description in RNAcentral is "partial 16S ribosomal RNA". It matches the Rfam family "Bacterial small subunit ribosomal RNA", at positions 568 to 792 of the family's 1533-position model. The record is from RNAcentral. Lineage: Bacteria; Pseudomonadati; Bacteroidota; Bacteroidia; Bacteroidales; Rikenellaceae.